Lolium rigidum is the source of this 628-nucleotide long non-coding RNA. RefSeq lists it as uncharacterized. The transcript has 3 exons. Lineage: Eukaryota; Viridiplantae; Streptophyta; Magnoliopsida; Poales; Poaceae. The record is from RefSeq and is a predicted model, not a curated record.
CAAGGCAAUAUCGCCCUCAACUGUUUCAAGGCAAACUGUUCAUUUUUCUAAAUCUAAAUUAAAGAAACACAUUGUUCAAAUCUCAAAUUGAUUGAUUGGAUUAUCAGUGUUACACAUGGUCUUGUUGAUGAAUUCAUCCGCCAUAAGAUCUUCUUUUCCAGUUUAUUGUACUUGAUAUAUUAUCGAGUAUUUAAUUUUCUGUCUGUGCCUUUCUACCUCUCUUACUCAUUUGCGGUUGUGAUUGAGAGAGAAGAUACUUCAAUGUUGCACUUGAGCAUUUGAUCAAUCAUUGCCGAGGCUCUGUUUUUUUUCCUGCUGGUGGUAGGUAGUAAGGAAUACCCGAUCCAAUAGCUUUCCGAGAGGAGAGAGAUGCGAGGAACAGGAUAGGUGGUGACGUAGUUAUGUUAGAAGGAUUGCGUCAGCGCGCAGGACCAAAUCUAAUUUGAAGCAAUACAAAAAAAUUCCCUUUGGAAUAUACGAUUGAUUAUUGGCAGGUCGCAAAUCUAGGAACAGCUCAAUCAACAAGAAAGUUUAUGAAAUAUGCUCAGAAUAGCACUGCUCAGCAAACCGCAAAGGCGCAAACUGAGCUUUAAGCUAGCUAUGUGCUAGAAUGCAGCAAGAUAUUGAG